UGGAAAAGGAUGUGGGAUUUCGAAGACAGCUAGGAUGUUGGCUUAGAAGCAGCCACACAUUCAAAGAGUGCGUAAUAGCUCACUAGUCGAGAGGUCCUGCGCCGAAAAUUAACGGGGCUAAAACAUGACACCGAAGCUUAGGGAUGGUGUAAACCAUCGGUAGAGGAGCAUUGAAAACGAGAUGAAGCGGUACCGAAAGGAGCCGUGGAUUGUUUUGAAGAGAGAAUGCCGGAAUGAGUAGCGAGAUGGAGGUGAGAAUCCUCCAGGCCGAAUAUCUAAGGUUUCCAGGGUAAAGCUGAUCUGCCCUGGGUAAGUCGGGGCCUAAGGCGAGGCGGAGACGCGUAGUCGAUGGACAACUGGUGUAGAUUCCAGUACCUUACUAAAUCAGAAAUGUGGGGACACAUGGAGAAAGAGAGAGCCGGGAAUGAGAAGACCGGUGCAAGGGAGGUAGGAGUGUAGUAGGAAAAGCCGCUACAUAAUCUGAAGACCCGAUGCGGAUCGAACUAAAGUAGAGAAGCUCUUCGACUCUGUGGCGAGAAAAGCCGCUAUAGUGUUUAGUAAGCCCGUACCGCAAACCGACACAGGUAGAUGAGGAGAGAAUCCUAAGGCCGGCGGGAGAAGCAUUGUUAAGGAACUCGGCAAAAUGACCCCGUAACUUCGGGAGAAGGGGUGCCCAGGCAACUGGGCCGCAGAGAAAAGGCUCAAGCAACUGUUUAGCAAAAACACAGGUCUAUGCGAAACCGUAAGGUGAGGUAUAUGGGCUGACGCCUGCCCGGUGCUGGAAGGUUAAGAGGAGAGGUUAGCGCAAGCGAAGCUUUGAAUUGAAGCCCCAGUAAACGGCGGCCGUAACUAUAACGGUCCUAAGGUAGCGAAAUUCCUUGUCGGGUAAGUUCCGACCCGCACGAAAGGCGUAACGAUUUGGGCACUGUCUCAACGAUGGACUCGGUGAAAUCAUAGUACCUGUGAAGAUGCAGGUUACCCGCGACAGGACGGAAAGACCCCAUGGAGCUUUACUGUAGUUUGAUAUUGAGUGUUUGUGUCACAUGUACAGGAUAGGUAGGAGCUGAAGAAUCCGGGACGCCAGUUUCGGAGGAGGCAACGGUGGGAUACUACCCUUGUGACAUGACCACUCUAACCCGCACCCCUUACCGGGGUGGGAGACAGUGUCAGACGGGCAGUUUGACUGGGGCGGUCGCCUCCUAAAAUGUAACGGAGGCGCCCAAAGGUUCCCUCAGAAUGGUUGGAAAUCAUUCGUAGAGUGUAAAGGCAGAAGGGAGCUUGACUGCGAGACCUACAAGUCGAGCAGGGACGAAAGUCGGGCUUAGUGAUCCGGUGGUUCCGUAUGGAAGGGCCAUCGCUCAACGGAUAAAAGCUACCCUGGGGAUAACAGGCUUAUC
RNAcentral lists this ribosomal RNA (1397 nucleotides) under human metagenome. Its description in RNAcentral is "bacterial LSU rRNA". It matches the Rfam family "Bacterial large subunit ribosomal RNA", at positions 1064 to 2487 of the family's 2925-position model. The record is from RNAcentral.